AACGAACGCUGGCGGCAGGCCUAAUACAUGCAAGUCGAGCGCAUUCUUCGGAAUGAGCGGCGGACGGGUGAGUAACGCGUGGGAAUAUGCCCUUCUCUAAGGAAUAGCCUCUGGAAACGGAGAGUAAUACCUUAUACGCCCUUCGGGGGAAAGAUUUAUCGGAGAAGGAUUAGCCCGCGUUAGAUUAGGUAGUUGGUGGGGUAAUGGCCUACCAAGCCUACGAUCUAUAGCUGGUUUGAGAGGAUGAUCAGCCACACUGGGACUGAGACACGGCCCAGACUCCUACGGGAGGCAGCAGUAGGGAAUCUUAGACAAUGGGGGCAACCCUGAUCUAGCCAUGCCGCGUGUGUGAUGAAGGCCCUAGGGUCGUAAAGCACUUUCGCCAGAGAUGAUAAUGACAGUAUCUGGUAAAGAAACCCCGGCUAACUCCGUGCCAGCAGCCGCGGUAAUACGGAGGGGGUUAGCGUUGUUCGGAAUUACUGGGCGUAAAGCGCACGUAGGCGGAUUAGUAAGUUAGAGGUGAAAUCCCAGGGCUCAACCCUGGAACUGCCUUUAAUACUGCUAGUCUUGAGUUCGAGAGAGGUAAGUGGAAUUCCGAGUGUAGAGGUGAAAUUCGUAGAUAUUCGGAGGAACACCAGUGGCGAAGGCGGCUUACUGGCUCGAUACUGA
RNAcentral lists this ribosomal RNA (669 nucleotides) under alpha proteobacterium IMCC14796. Its description in RNAcentral is "bacterial SSU rRNA". It matches the Rfam family "Bacterial small subunit ribosomal RNA", at positions 28 to 743 of the family's 1533-position model. Lineage: Bacteria; Pseudomonadati; Pseudomonadota; Alphaproteobacteria. The record is from RNAcentral.